RNAcentral lists this long non-coding RNA (1078 nucleotides) under Capra hircus (goat). RNAcentral's name for it is "lncRNA (ENSCHIG00010019534.1)". Lineage: Eukaryota; Metazoa; Chordata; Mammalia; Artiodactyla; Bovidae. The record is from RNAcentral.
GAAUAAAAGCAAUGUCUGGUGUUUCCUACUUAUAUAAAAUAUGAAUUAAUAGAGGUUAUCUUAUGUGAAGAAGGAAAUGGCAACCCGCUCCAAUAUUUUUGCCUGGGAAGUCCCAUGGACAGAGGAGCCUGAUGGGCUACAGUCCACAGGGUCCGCAAAGAACUGGGCAUGACUUAGCGACUAAACAACAACAAACUUAGACGGAAAGUUAUUUGAUCUCUUACACCUUCAAUAACCAAAGUGGCCAUAUAAUUCAUAUAGAACUUUAGUUUUCUAAAAUUUUUUCUUUGUAAUCUGAACUUGACUUUUCAGGAAUAACUGCCACAGAGACAUAAAUAAUGUAAAAUUACAAAACUUUAAAUAAGUAAUGGAAGUUUACUCCACUUCUUAUGCCUGUGAGAGUGACCAUGAAGCAAGUAAACUGAAACAUAUUUUUCAAGAACCAAGCUUUUCAGAAAGAGAGUUAAUAUAUUUGACAGGUUUUACUAAACAGACAUGUCUUAUAUCUCUUGCACUUAGUUUAUGCUUUGAUGAAUGCCCAUGUUCCUUUAAGUUCUCACCUAAACGGAAGAAAUUCUCUAAAUUUGCAAUUAUGAAUCUUCUUGCUAUGCCUUAUUUAAGCUGUCUACCUAACUAUAUAUUUAUUCACCCAGGGAAUAUUAAGCACCUCUUAUGCAUCAAUUCCAUUAACCUAUUAGUAUUUCUCUUCAUAUGUAACUUCCUUGGCAUGAACCUAUUGGCUCUUCAGUUCACAACAUCAAGCUUAACAGAGUAACUGAGCUCUGAUCAGAACUCUACUGAAAGCCUCUGCGGGUCGGUGGUCUCAUUCAGGAAGAGGAAAGUGCUUGCUUGCUUUCUACUGGUACUAACCCUCCCUUAAUUCAAGAUAUUUGCAUAAAAUACUUUGAUAAAGCCAAUGUAACUUCUAUUAAUGUGCUGAUUCACAUUAAUUCAGUCUUUAAGGUGCUUCUUUAGCAAGCACUUAUCUAACUGAAUUUUGAUUCUAAUAUUUAAACUACUAAUUAUCCCUUUAUCUUACUGACUUUUUGCCUACCAUACUUAAAAGGAGAGGUCUUGG